Molecule: long non-coding RNA, 2288 nt
Filed under: Canis lupus familiaris (dog)
Lineage: Eukaryota; Metazoa; Chordata; Mammalia; Carnivora; Canidae
Description: lncRNA (ENSCAFG00845019982.1)
Source: RNAcentral
GCCAUCUUCAGGGCCACAGUCCACUGGGGGUUUGCGGCCAUUUCUCCUCUAGGAUUAGUUCUCUUCCACAUGAGGUUAUUGGUAGGUCAGCUACUAUCUACAGCAGGUGGAGACAGUGCCCACAUCAGCCCUCCCACCUGACUAUGGUCACUGCAGUAAAGGCUCUCCACAUGCUGGGCAGCAUGGCUCAGGCAUGGGAUGAUGGGACGAUGACACAGCCCAGGGUGGACAUGCCCCAGUUCAACCUGCCUAGCAGCAGUGUGGCAGCACUAAGAUGGGAAAAUUCACGACAGCGUUGGAAUGAGGAAAGCAGAUGGCGGCCGGUGGCCCUCCUAGGCAUUUGCAAUACCCCCAACUGAUCAGUCUAGGCAGGCAAGGCAGGUACUUACCUCUGCCCCUCCCUCUUCUCCUCCUACCCCACGCUAACAUACCCUCCACAAGUGCAGUUCCUCCAGCCAGUCUUGCUCCCUCAGCCCGUCUGCCUCCUCACAGGUCCACAGAGAGUCCCUCAGAGUCUCAUACCUUCUUCCUCCUCCACUAAGACUGGGUUCUGGAAGCUUCUUCAGCCUCCCCACCACCAACACCCAUGGGCAAGGUCCUCUGUGCCCUGGACCAGCUCCCUCUCACAAUUUCUCUCUUCCUUGAUGUGCCCUUCUCCCUAUGGGAAUGGGUGCAGAGCCAGCAUCCUUCAUCAACAUGCACUUGUCCAGAGGAGGGGCCUGGUUGUCCCCACAGUCUCUGAGGGAUCUCCAGGAAAGGAAGGCUCAGUGCCCCUUGAGGCUACCCCCAAAGCAGCAGCCCCAGAAAGGGGCUUACUAGGUACAGCCAGGAGUUGCACAAAACAGAGCUGCUGUGCAUGCUGAACCAUACUUCACAACUUGUUCCGGCAGGUCAACAAAGCUGGGGACUGGGGCACACAGUGAGAGAGGGCAAGAGCAGGAGGGUUACUGGCAUCCUUCCACCCCACGCUACAAAGACUUGCCAGCUAUGCCUCAACAUUCUUGUUCUUUCAAAGAAGAAGGACGUGGAAGAAUUUCCAAAAGUAUCAGCAAAGUGCUAGGAGGCUGCUCGGAGAAGGCAAGUAUGGGUGAGCAGCUUGAUGGGGAGGGAGGGAAGGAUGAGGGACUGGCAGGAAGGAACACAGUUCACCAGGGGGAAAACAGCGCACAUGUGCAUCUGUGUGCAUGUGUGCACACAUGUGUGCGUGUGUGUGCAGCAUGUUGGGUGGAAGCAGUGAGAAGAGCUGUACUUGGAAGUACUUGAUAUCCGCAAAGUGGAAAAGGUAGACUGACCCUGGGAAAUCUGCAAAAUCCUGCACCAUCCAGUGUCUCUGUGUGAAACAGCAAUGGCCUCCUACAGAUUUUGACUCUUCCUGUUUUAUAAAUGAAAUUUACCAAAUUCCUAUAGUAUGACCUUACCAGCAGAGCUAAAGAAGUGUAUAUGAGUCAAUGUAUAUGGUAGGAAAGGGAGCUUGACAGUAGCCAUAGAAUUUCAUCUGGCCACAAAAGAACUCUAGUCCUGAGGCUAGAUGCGUGUCCAUACUGGAAUCCGUCUGCUUGAGCUGGGAGAUUAGAAUAGGCAGGGCCACCCAGAAAGAUGUGACAUCUGGGGAAGUGUCAAUUCAAGCAUCAUCCAGACACCAAAGAUUCAUAUUCUAUUACCAGAAAAAUUAUAAGGUUGGGGAGGGUAGGAGAGAAUGGCAUUCCAUGGCUGUGAUGGCAAUGUGGUAACUAACGUCGCUACCUUGCUGCAUGGUGAACAACCGGUCUAAGCUAGGCACCCCUUCCCCCAACCCAAGGAAGUGGUAUCUUACUUACGAGGCUAAUGUCUUGGGCAGAAGGGACAAAAAUAAGAAACUGUUUUGCAUGGAGCUCCAGAAUUACUGAUAUUUCAUUAUUGGGUUGUUUAACUUACAUUUUGAACCACUCUCAGGCAGAAGAGCCGAGUCACCAUCCACUAUUUCAAAGGAAGACCUGUAAGAUGAAAAUAUUUAGAUCAAUAGCAGUCUGGAUAGUUUCCAAAUUCCAUAAGUAGCAAAGAAGAUUUAUAGAAAUUUGACCAAAAGAGAUGUAUCCUGAGCUACACUGGGACAAAAGUUAUUUCUCAUGGUAUUUUUAGUUCUAAAACCUAGAGCAUGAAUACUUUUAAAUCAGCAACCUAAAAGACACAUUGCAAAAAAUAUACUUUACAUAUAAUAUAAACUACUGCAUUUGUUCACUGCCUCUUCUUGAGGCUUGUAAGUACGAAGAUACCCAACAGAAGGAUUAAACACAGAAGGAUCAAAACCC